UACAGCUCCCCUCCACCGCCGGUCUACAAAUAUAAGUCGCCACCACCUCCUGUGUACCACGCCCCGGCUCCUGUUUACAAGUACAAGUCACCUCCUCCCCCCGUCUACCACUACAGCUCGCCACCACCGCCGGUUUACAAGUACAAGUCACCACCACCACCUGUGUACCACGCCCCGGCACCAGUUUACAAGUACAACUCGCCACCACCCCCAGUUUACAAGUACAGCUCGCCACCACCACCUGUUUACAAAUACAAGUCGCCACCACCACCUGUGUACCACACCCCGGCUCCUGUUUACAAGUACGAGUCGCCUCCUCCGCCGGUGUACAAGUACAGCUCCCCGCCGCCACCGGUCUACAAAUAUAAGUCGCCACCACCACCUGUGUACCACGUCCCAGCGCCGGUUUACAAGUACGAAUCUCCUCCGCCACCGGUGUACAAGUACAG
RNAcentral lists this long non-coding RNA (449 nucleotides) under Selaginella moellendorffii. Its description in RNAcentral is "long non-coding RNA (SMOE_LNC000956)". Lineage: Eukaryota; Viridiplantae; Streptophyta; Lycopodiopsida; Selaginellales; Selaginellaceae. The record is from RNAcentral.